Long non-coding RNA from Sebastes umbrosus (honeycomb rockfish), 1558 nucleotides. RefSeq lists it as uncharacterized. The transcript has 3 exons. The record is from RefSeq and is a predicted model, not a curated record. Lineage: Eukaryota; Metazoa; Chordata; Actinopteri; Perciformes; Sebastidae.
AAAAGACUGUAUGCAGCAUGUAAUGAGCAGAAAUUGGAGCGUGUUGCUGGACAUUCGUAGGAAAACGCACAAAAAAUGAGGAAUAACUUUUCGUGAGUCAUCAUACGUAUGAGGACACGUUGCAUAUAAAAACAUCAUAACUCCAGUUUGGGUUUUUUUAUGUCUUAAAUGACGCUCUCAAGACCCCAUUUGUUGAACUGAAAAAGUAAGUAGCAAGUAAACACCAGGCUGAAUAUCUCACACAUUCUUUGUCAGUUGCUACAGAGUGGAGUUUGUUAAGUAUUAAAUGACCUAUAGUGCGUGAUGUGUGUGUGUGAUCGUGUGUGGAGCCCAAUCUGGUGUUUAGAUCUCACGGCUGGAGGUGUCAUGGCCCUCCACACUCCCAUCCACACUCACUCACGCACACACAGCAGCAGAGCAGGAAGUGUUGGAGCUCCGUGACGCAAGAAUGUGAUGUCACUUAAGCCCCUGUCCCACAAAGCCAUGAGUCUGUGUCAGUGUAGGAAAAAGGGGUUAUAGACCUCUGGUAGCUACUCUGUUUCUCUCUCUCUCUCUCUCUCUCUCUCUCUCUCUCUCUCUCUCUCUCUCUCUCUCAAUCUGUCUAUCCUGUCUAACAAAACACGUUGAAUUUAUUCAUGUUUAAUCUAUGGGGACUGACUUGCUUUUGGAGCCAGAGUCAAGUGGCCAUUUGAAAAACUGCUGUUUUGGGCACUUUUUUGGCACGUUUGGCUUCAUUUCUCAGCACCGGAGGUUGCCGCAUGGGCAGGCCUUAUCACCGAAAACAACAGUGUUGGACCUCACUAAUGCUCUUGUGUCUGAAUGGGAGCAGAUCCCUUCAGCCAGGUUCUAAAUCCUGUGGAAAGCUUUAGACGGGAAGAGAGGAGGUUGUUACAGCAGCAUAUUAACGCCCAUGGUUUUGGAAAGGCAUGCUCAACAAUCACAUAUGGGUGUUAUGUUCGGGUGUCCACAGACUGUCUCUUCUGUGAAAUGUGAUCAAAAUUGUAUAAGAAUUCAGUGAGCUAAGAUCUUCCCAAUGCAACACAAUGUGAUGUAAUCAAACUGAUGUGAACUGACUAGUCAAUAUCUGCUUUUAAUAAAAGCUUCUUCACUGGCUAUAUGAUGACUCUGCACACACACAGAAAAACCAGCCUCUGUACAUCAAAGUGUAGUCCAAUACAAUAUAAACAAACAGCUCAACAAAACACAUUUUAAGCUUGAUAGAGGCAUCAGAUAGUAUUUACUGCAGGGUUAUUGUAACAUAUUAAAUCUAUCUCCUUCCUCUCAGCCAGUCAAUUUACCGACUGCAUCCUCAAGCCUUCAGAUAUUAGGGCUUAAUUUUUGUUUAGUUUAUUUAUUUUUGAGAAUACACAAACAUAACAAACAUAACAAAUAAUACCCAGUGCAGGAAGAGGCAGAAAACCCACUGGGCUUAUCUGGAGAAUCCAGCUAAAUAAUGUUAAUAUAUCACAAUGUUAUAGAGAAUACAACAUUAAUAUACAGAAAAUAAUAUUACUACAUAAUAGUGAUAAACAAUUAUAAAAAUAUAUGUAUAAUAACA